Molecule: long non-coding RNA, 711 nt
Filed under: Homo sapiens (human)
Lineage: Eukaryota; Metazoa; Chordata; Mammalia; Primates; Hominidae
Description: non-protein coding LINC01549:2
Source: RNAcentral
GCUGUUGAGACUCCAGGGGUGUUCGGGGCUGGGAGCCUGCUGAGUGUUCCCUGUUCCCACCUCCAAUCUGCUCCAUCCUCCAGCUGCAUUUCAUUCCGGAUCUACCAGCAGGAUCCAACUUUACUACUGUCAUGGAGGGAAUUACAGUAAUUCUACCAACUUUUGAGGCAACCUUCUUCUGACACUGUGUGAAACAGACUGAAAAGACUCUAAAGAUGGAGAGAGCUCAAUGCUUGAGAAAAGGAAUUCUGUCCUUUGAAAGGUCUCUAGAACAAAGGAGUCUUAUUCUGUCACCUAGGCUGGAGUACAGUGGUGCAAUCACAGCUCACUGCAGCCUCGAUCUCCUGGACUCAACUAAUCCUCCUGCCUCAGCCUUCUGGGUAGUUGAGACUACAGAAGAUGAGAGAGAGAAAAAGAGAGAAAUUACAGAGUGACGGAGAAGGCAGACAUCAUGCAACAUGCUCAAGGGCUAUUCAUUUUAAGCUGAAACAUACAUGUGUAGAAAGCAUCCUUGUACUUAUAAUCCCAAUGACUAUGAAGAAAAAUAAUUUAGCCAAAUAGUUCCUAGAACAGGAAAAAUAAGGAAUUAUAUUUUGAGAUAAGAAGUUAAGCUCUAGUAUAACAAUGAUAUGGGUCAAAGAAAAAUGAAAACAAAUUUUAAAAACGUUGCAACAUGAAUAAAAGUUUCACCAAAUCGGGAGUCUAUUAUAA